Long non-coding RNA from Aedes albopictus (Asian tiger mosquito), 1944 nucleotides. RefSeq lists it as uncharacterized. The record is from RefSeq and is a predicted model, not a curated record. The transcript is spliced from 3 exons. NCBI's taxonomy places the organism in Eukaryota, Metazoa, Arthropoda, Insecta, Diptera, Culicidae.
UUAAACUGCUACACUCAUCGCAUGAGUAACAGUUACUCAUUGUCGAGCAUCGCUGCAAAUCCGGGAGAAUGUGUGAAAAUUAUGUGUACGUCUUACUCACGCCGUGAGCUGAUGACCAGUUACACAUUUUUGUGCUCCCUGAUCUUCCGGACCGGUGUUGACAAACGCUUCAAAAAGUGAGCGUCUGUCAAAUAUUUCAACAAAAAGAAAAAGAAAAAGAAAGCUUUUUCCUUGUAAUCAUUCCAAAUUGUAAAAGUUGCAUCGAUGGACGUUUAUUGACAAUAAUAAAUUGUCAUUGAAACAGGACUCCCGAUUCCCAAUGCUGAACCUACACGGAUUCCAGUGAAUGGGCUCAAGCGACGGCCGUAAAAAUAGUAAUUAUAAUAUAUAUAAUAAAUUUUGUAACUACAACUACUGUUUUUUUUUUAUUGAAAAACAUUUAAAAAUAAUAUUUAAGACAAAAUGAGUAACUAUCACACAUUUUCAGAGCAAGCGAAGCAUACGCAUUUAUGUGUAACGGUUACUCAUUCUUCCGGAAUGGUGACGAAACGCUUCAAUGUGUGAAGCUUACUCAUACUGCUUUGGCUCUCAAGCACUUGCUCAAAAAUGAGUAAGGCCCCCUUUGCUCACUUUAGGAGUGCCAUGGGAUGAAUAUAAAUUUGAGUAGAUCUUGCUCAUUAAUGAGUGGACCGACUUCUGCGUGAGGAUAGAUAGUUGGGUAAAGUGGAAGAUUGUGCAGGUUAAAAAGAACAUGUUUUGUUUGUGUUUCCGCGUUUCGUAUAAUGCUUGACCACAUACUUGUCACACGGGAUAAGGACACGACUCGACUCCGGACAAUCACCCAAAACGUCUCGGCGCUACAGAGGAGCUUUUUCAUGGACUCGAGGAGUGGCUAGUUCAGACGCAAUCAAGACGUGGUAGGUAUAAGGCUUCGGAAUCGGCUACGCAAUCUAUACACGCUUAAACUGCUACACUCAUCGCAUGAGUAACAGUUACUCAUUGUCGAGCAUCGCUGCAAAUCCGGGAGAAUGUGUGAAAAUUAUGUGUACGUCUUACUCACGCCGUGAGCUGAUGACCAGUUACACAUUUUUGUGCUCCCUGAUCUUCCGGACCGGUGUUGACAAACGCUUCAAAAAGUGAGCGUCUGUCAAAUAUUUCAACAAAAAGAAAAAGAAAAAGAAAGCUUUUUCCUUGUAAUCAUUCCAAAUUGUAAAAGUUGCAUCGAUGGACGUUUAUUGACAAUAAUAAAUUGUCAUUGAAACAGGACUCCCGAUUCCCAAUGCUGAACCUACACGGAUUCCAGUGAAUGGGCUCAAGCGACGGCCGUAAAAAUAGUAAUUAUAAUAUAUAUAAUAAAUUUUGUAACUACAACUACUGUUUUUUUUUUAUUGAAAAACAUUUAAAAAUAAUAUUUAAGACAAAAUGAGUAACUAUCACACAUUUUCAGAGCAAGCGAAGCAUACGCAUUUAUGUGUAACGGUUACUCAUUCUUCCGGAAUGGUGACGAAACGCUUCAAUGUGUGAAGCUUACUCAUACUGCUUUGGCUCUCAAGCACUUGCUCAAAAAUGAGUAAGGCCCCCUUUGCUCACUUUAGGAGUGCCAUGGGAUGAAUAUAAAUUUGAGUAGAUCUUGCUCAUUAAUGAGUGGACCGACUUCUGCGUGUACCGGUCGAACACGAACAAGUGGCCGCGUAAAGAUCAUCCCUGGCAGCGUCGCUGCCGUGGCGUCGGUUUACUGCACACUUAGAAUAAAUUACAGUAUUCGGUGAAAAAAAUCACCGAAACUGAUCUGUAAACAAGCAAACUACAGUAUUACGGCGAAAUCGAUGAAAUUGCAGGAGAAAAUCGGUGAAAUCUAAGAAAUCACCGAAGAACCGGUGAAAUCAGACAAAUUUACAGGAGACCUGUGAAUAUUUUACCGAACAGAUCGGUGAUGGGACUAUU